AUUGAACGCUGGCGGAAUGCUUUACACAUGCAAGUCGAGCGGCAGCACGGGGGCAACCCUGGUGGCGAGCGGCGAACGGGUGAGUAACACAUCGGAACAUGCCCAGUCGUGGGGGAUAACACUUCGAAAGAAGUGCUAAUACCGCAUACGUCCUGAGGGAGAAAGCGGGGGAUCGCAGGACCUCGCGCGAUUGGAGUGGCCGAUGUCAGAUUAGCUAGUUGGUGGGGUAAAGGCCUACCAAGGCAACGAUCUGUAGCUGGUCUGAGAGGAUGAUCAGCCACACUGGGACUGAGACACGGCCCAGACUCCUACGGGAGGCAGCAGUGGGGAAUUUUGGACAAUGGGGGCAACCCUGAUCCAGCCAUUCCGCGUGAGUGAAGAAGGCCUUCGGGUUGUAAAGCUCUUUCGGCAGGAACGAAACGGUGAGCUCUAACAUAGCUUGCUAAUGACGGUACCUGAAGAAGAAGCACCGGCUAACUACGUG
This 484-nucleotide ribosomal RNA is filed under the name uncultured bacterium. RNAcentral describes it as "partial 16S ribosomal RNA". It matches the Rfam family "Bacterial small subunit ribosomal RNA", at positions 30 to 507 of the family's 1533-position model. The record is from RNAcentral.